RNAcentral lists this ribosomal RNA (253 nucleotides) under uncultured bacterium. Its description in RNAcentral is "partial 16S ribosomal RNA". It matches the Rfam family "Bacterial small subunit ribosomal RNA", at positions 524 to 776 of the family's 1533-position model. The record is from RNAcentral.
UACAGAGGUCCCAAGCGUUGUCCGGAAUCACUGGGCGUAAAGGGCGCGUAGGUGGCGCCGCAAGUCCAUGGUGAAAGCUCGAUGCUCAACAUCGAGUCGGCCACGGAGACUGCGGGGCUCGAGCACUGUAGGGGCAGAUGGAAUUCCGGGUGUAGCGGUGGAAUGCGUAGAGAUCCGGAAGAACACCGGUGGCGAAGGCGGUCUGCUGGGCAGUUGCUGACACUGAGGCGCGACAGCGUGGGGAGCAAACAGG